GCCCGAUUAGCUCAGCUGGUUAGAGCGUCGUACUAAUAAUUAUUCCAUAUGGAGUCUUUACCAAGUCAUGCGAAGGUCAACAGUUCAAUCUUGUUAUUAGGCA
Cercophora scortea is the source of this 103-nucleotide non-coding RNA. Lineage: Eukaryota; Fungi; Ascomycota; Sordariomycetes; Sordariales; Lasiosphaeriaceae. The record is from the annotation of a GenBank genome assembly.